GAUGAACGCUGGCGGCGUGCCUAAUACAUGCAAGUCGAGCGAACGGACGAGAAGCUUGCUCCUCUGAUGUUAGCGGCGGACGGGUGAGUAACACGUGGAUAACCUACCUAUAAGACUGGGAUAACUUCGUGAAACCGGAGCUAAUACCGGAUGAUAUUUUGAACCGCAUGGUUCAAAAGUGAAAGACGGUCUUGCUGUCACUUAUAGAUGGAUCCGCGCUGCAUUAGCUAGUUGGUAAGGUAACGGCUUACCAAGGCAACGAUGCAUAGCCGACCUGAGAGGAUGAUCGGCCACACUGGAACUGAGACACGGUCCAGACUCCUACGGGAGGCAGCAGUAGGGAAUCUUCCGCAAUGGGCGAAAGCCUGACGGAGCAACGCCGCGUGAGUGAUGAAGGGCUUCGGAUCGUAAAACUCUGUUAUUAGGGAAGAACAUAUGUGUAAGUAACUGUGCACAUCUUGACGGUACCUAAUCAGAAAGCCACGGCUAACUACGUG
RNAcentral lists this ribosomal RNA (497 nucleotides) under uncultured bacterium. Its description in RNAcentral is "partial 16S ribosomal RNA". It matches the Rfam family "Bacterial small subunit ribosomal RNA", at positions 28 to 507 of the family's 1533-position model. The record is from RNAcentral.